Molecule: ribosomal RNA, 395 nt
Filed under: uncultured Poterioochromonas
Lineage: Eukaryota; Synurophyceae; Ochromonadales; Ochromonadaceae
Description: partial small subunit ribosomal RNA
Rfam family: Eukaryotic small subunit ribosomal RNA
Source: RNAcentral
GCUUGUCUCAAAGAUUAAGCCAUGCAUGUCUAAGUAUAAGCACCCUUAUACAGCGAAACUGCGUACAGCUCAUUAUAUCAGCAAUUAUUUAUUUGAAGGUCACCUAUUACAUGGAUAACCGUAGUAAUUCUAGAGCUAAUACAUGCAUAAAACCCUGACUUCUGGAAAGGGUGUACUUAUUAGAUGGAAACCAAUGCGGGGCAACCCGGAUACUGGUGAUUCAUAAUAAUUUUCGGAUCGAUCGUAGGAUCGAUGCAUCAUUCAAGUUUCUGCCCUAUCAGCUUUGGAUGGUAGGGUAUUGGCCUACCAUGGCAUUAACGGGUAACGGAGAAUUAGGGUUCGAUUCCGGAGAGGGAGCCUGAGAAAUGGCUACCACAUCCAAGGAAGGCAGCAGG